UUAGAGUUUGAUCCUGGCUCAGGAUGAACGCUGGCGGCGUGCCUAAUACAUGCAAGUCGAACGCUUUGUGGUUCAACUGAUUUGAAGAGCUUGCUCAGAUAUGACGAUGGACAUUGCAAAGAGUGGCGAACGGGUGAGUAACACGUGGGAAACCUACCUCUUAGCAGGGGAUAACAUUUGGAAACAGAUGCUAAUACCGUAUAACAAUGACAACCGCAUGGUUGUUAUUUAAAAGAUGGUUCUGCUAUCACUAAGAGAUGGUCCCGCGGUGCAUUAGCUAGUUGGUAAGGUAAUGGCUUACCAAGGCGAUGAUGCAUAGCCGAGUUGAGAGACUGAUCGGCCACAAUGGGACUGAGACACGGCCCAUACUCCUACGGGAGGCAGCAGUAGGGAAUCUUCCACAAUGGGCGAAAGCCUGAUGGAGCAACGCCGCGUGUGUGAUGAAGGGUUUCGGCUCGUAAAACACUGUUGUAAGAGAAGAAUGACAUUGAGAGUAACUGUUCAAUGUGGGACGGUAU
Molecule: ribosomal RNA, 518 nt
Filed under: Weissella confusa
Lineage: Bacteria; Bacillati; Bacillota; Bacilli; Lactobacillales; Lactobacillaceae
Description: bacterial SSU rRNA
Rfam family: Bacterial small subunit ribosomal RNA
Source: RNAcentral